GGCACUACGGUGCUGAAGCAACAAAUGCCCUGCUUCCAGGAAAAGCCUCUAAGCAUCAGGUAACAUCAAAUCGUACCCCAAACCGACACAGGUGGUCAGGUAGAGAAUACCAAGGCGCUUGAGAGAACUCGGGUGAAGGAACUAGGCAAAAUGGUGCCGUAACUUCGGGAGAAGGCACGCUGAUAUGUAGGUGAAGUCCCUCGCGGAUGGAGCUGAAAUCAGUCGAAGAUACCAGCUGGCUGCAACUGUUUAUUAAAAACACAGCACUGUGCAAACACGAAAGUGGACGUAUACGGUGUGACGCCUGCCCGGUGCCGGAAGGUUAAUUGAUGGGGUUAGCGCAAG
RNAcentral lists this ribosomal RNA (345 nucleotides) under Escherichia coli. RNAcentral's name for it is "partial 23S ribosomal RNA". It matches the Rfam family "Bacterial large subunit ribosomal RNA", at positions 1573 to 1899 of the family's 2925-position model. Lineage: Bacteria; Pseudomonadati; Pseudomonadota; Gammaproteobacteria; Enterobacterales; Enterobacteriaceae. The record is from RNAcentral.